Molecule: long non-coding RNA, 1050 nt
Organism: Oncorhynchus nerka (sockeye salmon)
Lineage: Eukaryota; Metazoa; Chordata; Actinopteri; Salmoniformes; Salmonidae
Exons: 3
Source: RefSeq, a predicted model, not a curated record
CAGACAGAAGACGAGUGAAGAGAGCAGGGGCCUCAUUUUUAAAAAUGUUCUUAGAUUUAUACUUGAACUUAGUCCUAAAAAAUCAUUUCCAACGGUCUGCUUAUGUUCGAUUCAUAAAAGAUACUGAGCAUAAAAAACCUUGCUUAUGCAGGUUCUAAUAAGCCCAUUUUUAACUUACGCACCUGUGAUCUAUAAAUCUCAAAUAACUUAAAAUUGAGUGCACCUGAAUGUGCCUUACAAUCAGAGAAUUCCCCUUAUAGAAUACUAGCACAAAUGAGGGUUUAGUCAGGAAUAGCCAUGGACCAAAAGAAAAGUAAACUUUUUGGAAGACGAGAUCACGGCAAUGGUAGAGGAGAUUGAAGACAGGCAACACGUAUUGUUCUGUGGACUAAAUAGUGGGUUGACAAACAAAGCCGAACAGGUAGCAUGCGAGUGUGUCGCCGCUGCAGUGAACGAGGUGGGGCAGCAAGACAGAACUGUGGCUGGUGUGAAAGACCUGGCACUCCAGAGUUUUCCCAAAUGGACCAGCGCAUCGGGGAAAUCAUUGGGGAAAGCGCAUACACUGGCACAUGCGCCGACCGCGACAGUGAAUGUUUAAAAAAAGCAGUAACAUUGGAAACGGUGAAGUCGGUGCGCGAAACCCCAACCACUGCAUCACUGGAUCACGAAACGGGGGAAGCUGCGUUGCAGCCCAUGCGCCCUCCACCCAGGGAUAAAGUGGGUGAGGCUCCCAAAGUAGCAGGUGCCAGGAGUGAGGGCGAAGGUUUGGCCACAGGUGUCGAGGGCCGUCCAUGUCUGCGUCCGUGCGCCAGGAUGAAGUCCGUGAGGCCCCAGUUCCCAAGCGUCGCAGACCCGCAGGUGCCAGGGGUGAGGGGGGAUGUUUGGCCACCGGUGUCGAGGGUUCAUCGACCUCUGUGUCCACGUCUACAGUUCGCGUGUUGACCGCCGCAGUCCUGCAAACCCACCCAAAGAAAACGCAGGGUUUUGAUUCAUUUACAUAAUGCAAUUGUUGAACGUUUUCCAUAACAUCAAUAAAAAGCCUAUGCUUUG